UCUCCGCGGUUAAUUUUCGUCCUAUCUAUUAUGGUUUUUUUAGUCCCUCCUCCCACCUUGAAUGGUUGACGAAAGAAAAUGGACGAACCGGAGUGAGGCCCUUUCCACGAACCAGGGAGCGAGGCCCCCUCGCACAAAAAAAAUUGACGAUCUAUUCCUAUUACGACGGGAACCACACUCCGGCCGCCAUCGAUCCCUUCGCCGCAGUCGCCGAGGUCGACGGAAACCACGCCCCAGCCGGUAUCGAUCCCUUUGCCGCCACCGAGAUCCUGGAGGAGCCGCCGCCAUCGAUCCCGAGAUACUGGAGGAGCCGCUGCCGCCGCGGUCGCCUUCAUUGUGGACCUCCAGGACACCAUCGGGACACCGCUGGUCCGCUGUCAGGGCACACACCUAUGGCGCUCCCAUACCUGCAGUCCUGCACACGGACAUAGAGCUCACCACUGUCUGCGACGCCACGGAAGCAGCGGCCGAUCAUCGACGCCGGCCGUACGCAUGUCAGCCGCAGUGGACGGCCCCUUCUACGCGUCGUCGUACUUGGAGGGCAUUGCUUCGUCUUCAUGCAGCAUGUGCAGAUCGAACUUGUCGAGGAUGGUGCUCGAGCUAGAUUUGUUCUGGAAGACGAUCUCAUCAUCUAUCUACGAGCAAUUCGACACAAGAAAACAGGCACGCCAAGUGGCUGUGAAUGGCCAAGAACAACCGCAAUCCGUCACGGUCGUGUGGCAAGAUACAGAGGGAAGGGAAGCAGGAUUGGGAUGUGAGGUAGAGAUACAGCCAGCAAAAGGGGCGAGGAACAGAGACGUAAGUGAGAUUCAAAGUUUAGGUCGUGGCCGUUUCUUUCCUCUGGUUAAUUAGCCUACCGAGUGUUCAUGUCCGGCUCAUAUUUUUGCAUCUAAUUGCACUACAAUUUUCGCAUCUAGAAAUGCCUUGUCAUUGUUGUGCCCUAUGUAUUAUUUUUGUUUGUCGUAAUCAUAUUUGUACAUUGUUCUAGAAAAGUGAUUAUGUACUUGUAGAGGAAAUCUGAAUGUGGCUGUGAAUUAUGUCCAAAUUGCAGAACAGGUGAGCCGAACAUUUAUUUAUUACUCAAAUCAAAAGCUGGGUUCUUGAUCGGAGGCUCCAUAACUAUCUAUGGUGUUGAACUCGAUUUACUGAAUUUCUCCCAGGCCCAGACAUGAUCGCUGAUAGAGAAGCAGAAGAGGCAAUGAUGUUAACCAUACUGAAGAGCUUUCCUACUCAUGCUGUCUGAGCGUGUACUCCCAAUCCCAAUAUGCAGUUCACUUUCAACGCACCUGCAUGAUAAAUAAUGCUACCUUUACUGUCUUCAUGCAGUUUCGGAGAGGAGAACAGUUGGAUUUGUGCGGAGAACUCUGCUAACUAUGUUUGGUUCUUGGACCCCAUAGAUGGAACAGAGAGCUUCAUUAACUGUUAUUGAAAUGUAACAGUGUGCAGGCCAAUUAAUUUCACCUCAACCAACUAUGAUGGAUGUUGAUUUGCUAUUCAAAGGCAAGCCUAUUUUUGGCACGCUUAUUGUGCUACUUCACAAUGGAAAGCCGGUUAUGGGCAUUAUUGAUCAACCAAAUCUUGAGAGAGAGAUGGGUUGGGGUGGACGGGAAGAAAACUACCUUAAAUGUACAAGAAGUAUUUGUGUGAUUGUUCAGGACUACAUACAAAGCAAUGCAAGACACAAUAUAAUUUAGCAUUUUCAAGGAUACCACAUGGAGCAGCAAAAUGGAGGAGACGAGCUACCAUAUGGUGGGCAGUGUGCUAAGGAGGGCGAGCCAUUCUGGGAAAGUCCUUGUGGCCGUGAAAGACCAGGAUGGCAUAUUGAUUGCAGUGCAAUGAGCGGGCAUUAUUUAGGCAAGCAUUUAAUAUUUAUGACGGAGGAAAAUAUUUGAUCUUACCACAUCAUGGGAAUGAGCUUGCGCAAAGGCGAGCAGUGAAUCCUGAGAGUGAGGUCAAACGCGGGAUGCAUAAUGGCUUUGUCAACAACAAUGGCCAGAAGAAGGCAAAAAUAGACAAAAGCUUCUCACUAUCAAAGAUGUAAGGAAGAUUAUUGUUCUGUGCCAUCCCAUGGCUCUAAGGCUAUUCCUGAUGCGAACACACUACAGACUGUACAAGACUCUGAAGAAGUAUAUCGUUGUGCUGUGAUGACAAGUUGGAUGUCCCAGUACCAGCAGACGAUCGAAAGGUGGUCGACGACAACCACGAGAGUUUCCCGAGACGCAUUUCUAACGAUCUUCAUAUUACAGGUGCCCUUGAUGAGCUUAUGAAGGCAGUGAGAGGCGAGCUAUGAACAACAACUUGAGUGAUUUGAUGCAACUUGAGUGAUUUGAAGAAAUUGCAGCAGAAACUAGAGCAGCAGCCAGCAGAAAAGGAAAUGGCCAGAGAAGAAGUAACAACAGCAGAAAAAGAAACAGUCCAAGGGUACGGCCCGACGACGAGGGCGCCAUCCCUCCUCCAUGUUGGAUCUGGAUGACCAGGAUGCCAUAAAGUUGGGCGUGUGGGCUUGAUGUUCAGGUGACGGCGCAAUAGUUUGACGGGCGGCAGCGGAGGGUAGGGCGAUGCCGUACCAGGGAGAGGACGUGGCGAGAGGAGGAUAGUUUCAGGGAGAGAUGGCGACGAUGAUGUGAUGGUAGGGGAUGGGAUGCGAUGAAUGCCCGAGGGCCGGCCAACUAUGCGGGGAGAGAAGGAGCCGGCUAGGUGUGCGAGAAGAGAGUAAGGGGAUGGGCUGUCUUUUCUUAUUUUCCGUGAAGAAAAAUAAAGGAUAUACCAGCAACUUAUGUUUGUUUGUGCGUUGAGAUAAAUAUCACAUAGCCUAACAAGUCAUUUUUAGAGAAUAUACCUAUAAGUUAUCUAUAGGUGAGCCUACAAUUUAUAACUUAAAGCCACGACACUUAUUUUGGGACGGAGGGAGUAGAAAUUAGGAUGCGACUCACUUCUAUGAAGAAGAACACGAUGCCAUAAUCAAUAUAUACUGUAUACAAGCAUAUUUCAAUUUUAUUUAUUCUGAUACAAUAUAUGUUUAAUUACAUGGUUCAGUUUUGUUGAUCAAGAUAAAAACCUAUGGAUUCGAACGAUGCUUUGAAAUUAUCACUAUAUUCAAGAUGAUAAUAAUUUAUUGAAUUGUGUGGAUUUGUCUGGCUAUUUUUUUAUGCUCUCGUGGAAUUGUAAAUAUUUGGUUUGUUCGGUUUGCACAGUGAGUAUUUCUCGUUGCAUAUUCUACGCAUUCCAUGUAAAAUAUUUGUGCUAAAUACAUAUAUUGCUUAUGCACGAUGGUAUGAUUGGAGAGUUUUUUUAUUAUUAUAUGUCAAGUAUUACGCGAACGAAGUUAAGGACAACAUUCCUGAUAUUGUACGAGAAUAUCGUGAGCACAUCGAGUAGAUUUAGUUUGCAACAAAUUAAUAGUUGGAUAAUCGCUAUCUAUGUAUACAUGGUCAAAAUACAUAUUUUUUAUCAACUUAUGUUGGUGGUGAAUUAGAUAUCAUUUAUUUUCUAAUUGUUCCCACUGGCUUUUCUAUUCAUGUGAAAUUUAGCAUGCAUUUGGUUUAUAUAUAAUACUAGCAAUUUUUUUAAAAUGACCGUGGCAACGCACGGGCAGCCUACUAGUAUUAUCUGUUUUGGAUGUUUUAUAUGCAUUGAUAUGCUAUUUUAUAUUAUUUUUGGGACUAACCUAUUAAC
Long non-coding RNA from Triticum aestivum (bread wheat), 3675 nucleotides. RefSeq lists it as uncharacterized. The record is from RefSeq and is a predicted model, not a curated record. The transcript has 7 exons. Lineage: Eukaryota; Viridiplantae; Streptophyta; Magnoliopsida; Poales; Poaceae.